RNAcentral lists this ribosomal RNA (326 nucleotides) under uncultured eukaryote. RNAcentral's name for it is "partial 18S ribosomal RNA". It matches the Rfam family "Eukaryotic small subunit ribosomal RNA", at positions 1470 to 1796 of the family's 1831-position model. The record is from RNAcentral.
CCCUUAGAUGUUCUGGGCUGCACACGUGCUACACUGGCAGGUUCAGCGAGCUUCAUGCCCUGAUCUGAAAGGAAUGGGAAAUCUUUUCAAAACCUGCCGUGCUUGGGAUAGAUGUUUGCAAUUAUUCAUCUUCAACGAGGAUUGCCUUGUAAGCGCACGUCAUCAGCGUGCAUUGAAUACGACCCUGUAUUCUGUACACACCGCCCGUCGCUCCUACCGAUCGAAGAGUUAGGUGAAUUGUUUUGAUCGAUAAGAUUUGACUAUGGUCAACUCUCGUUGUGAAAUUCUGUGAAUCUGACUGUUUAGAGGAAGGAAAAGUCGUAACA